RNAcentral lists this ribosomal RNA (501 nucleotides) under Nocardioides sp. RNAcentral describes it as "bacterial SSU rRNA". It matches the Rfam family "Bacterial small subunit ribosomal RNA", at positions 219 to 723 of the family's 1533-position model. Lineage: Bacteria; Bacillati; Actinomycetota; Actinomycetes; Propionibacteriales; Nocardioidaceae. The record is from RNAcentral.
CCAGGGAUGUGCUCGCGGCCUAUCAGCUUGUUGGUGGGGUAAUGGCCUACCAAGGCUUCGACGGGUAGCCGGCCUGAGAGGGUGACCGGCCACACUGGGACUGAGACACGGCCCAGACUCCUACGGGAGGCAGCAGUGGGGAAUAUUGGACAAUGGGCGGAAGCCUGAUCCAGCAACGCCGCGUGAGGGAUGACGGCCUUCGGGUUGUAAACCUCUUUCAGUACCGACGAAGCGCCGAUGAUGGUGGUGACGGUAGGUACAGAAGAAGCACCGGCCAACUACGUGCCAGCAGCCGCGGUAAUACGUAGGGUGCGAGCGUUGUCCGGAAUUAUUGGGCGUAAAGGGCUCGUAGGCGGUUUGUCGCGUCGGGAGUGAAAACCCAGGGCUUAACUCUGGGCUGGCUUUCGAUACGGGCAGACUAGAGGUAUGCAGGGGAGAACGGAAUUCCUGGUGUAGCGGUGAAAUGCGCAGAUAUCAGGAGGAACACCGGUGGCGAAGGCG